This 466-nucleotide ribosomal RNA is filed under the name uncultured bacterium. Its description in RNAcentral is "bacterial SSU rRNA". It matches the Rfam family "Bacterial small subunit ribosomal RNA", at positions 329 to 792 of the family's 1533-position model. The record is from RNAcentral.
AGCCAGACUCCUACGGGAGGCAGCAGUGAGGAAUAUUGGUCAAUGGGCUUACGCCUGAACCAGCCAAGUCGCGUGAGGGAAGACUGCCCUAUGGGUUGUAAACCUCUUUUGUCAGGGAGCAACGCCGGCUACGUGUAGCCGGACUGAGAGUACCUGAAGAAAAAGCAUCGGCUAACUCCGUGCCAGCAGCCGCGGUAAUACGGAGGAUGCGAGCGUUAUCCGGAUUUAUUGGGUUUAAAGGGUGCGUAGGCGGAAUGCCAAGUCAGCGGUAAAAUCGUGGGGCUCAACCCCAUCCAGCCGUUGAAACUGGGGAUCUAGAGUGUGCGAGAGGUAUGCGGAAUGCGUGGUGUAGCGGUGAAAUGCAUAGAUAUCAUACAGAACACCGAUUGCGAAGGCAGCUUACCAAACUACGACUGACGUUGAGGCACGAAAGCGUGGGGAGCAAACAGGAUUAGAUACCCCGGUA